This is a non-coding RNA of Empidonax traillii (willow flycatcher), 71 nucleotides long. The record is from the annotation of a RefSeq genome assembly. Lineage: Eukaryota; Metazoa; Chordata; Aves; Passeriformes; Tyrannidae.
CCCCUGGUGGUCUAGAGGAAAGGCACUGCACUAUCACUGCAGAGACCCGGGUUCGAUUCCCGGUCAGGGCC